GCUGGGUGUGGUGGCACACACCUGCAAUCCCAGUAGCUCGGGAGGCUGAGGCAGGAGGAUUGCAAGUUCAAAACCAGACUCAGUAACUUAAUUUAGCAAGAUCCUGUCUCAA
This 112-nucleotide small RNA is filed under the name Marmota monax (woodchuck). Lineage: Eukaryota; Metazoa; Chordata; Mammalia; Rodentia; Sciuridae. The record is from RNAcentral.